AGAGUUUGAUCAUGGCUCAGGACGAACGCUGGCGGCGUGCUUAACGCAUGCAAGUCGGACGCAGUAAGCUUGCUUACUGAGUGGCGCACGGCUGAGUAACACGUGGGUAUAUGCCUUUAUGUGGGGGAUAACGGGCUGAAAGGUUCGCUAAUCCCGCAUGUGCUCGGGAACGAGGAAAGCAGAAAUGCGCAUAAAGAGUAGCCUGCGGCCCAUCAGGUAGUUGGAGUGGUAAUGGCACACCAAGCCGAUGACGGGUACCUGGUCUGAGAGGACGACCAGGCAGACUGGGACUGAGACACGGCCCAGACUCCUACGGGAGGCAGCAGCGAGGAAUUUUCCGCAAUGGGCGCAAGCCUGACGGAGCAACGCCGCGUGCAGGAUGAAGGCCUUCGGGUUGUAAACUGCUUUUGUUGGGGACGAUAAGGACGGUACCCAGCGAAUAAGCCCCGGCUAACUCCGUGCCAGCAGCCGCGGUAAUUC
RNAcentral lists this ribosomal RNA (480 nucleotides) under uncultured bacterium. RNAcentral describes it as "bacterial SSU rRNA". It matches the Rfam family "Bacterial small subunit ribosomal RNA", at positions 8 to 526 of the family's 1533-position model. The record is from RNAcentral.